This 428-nucleotide ribosomal RNA is filed under the name uncultured archaeon. RNAcentral describes it as "bacterial SSU rRNA". It matches the Rfam family "Archaeal small subunit ribosomal RNA", at positions 474 to 903 of the family's 1478-position model. The record is from RNAcentral.
UACCAACCCUCCGAGUGGUAGGGAUGAUUAUUUGGCUUAAAGCGUCCGUAGCUGGCUUGAAAAGUCUUCCGUUAAAUCCAGCGUCUAAGCGUUGGAAAGCGGAAGAUACUAUCAAGCUAGGAGGCGGAAGAGGCCGACGGUAUUUCUAGGGGAGGGGUGAAAUCCUAUAAUCCUAGGAGGACCACCAGUGGCGAAGGCGGUCGGCCAGAACGCACUCGACGGUGAGGGACGAAAGCUGGGGGAGCGAACCGGAUUAGAUACCCGGGUAGUCCCAGCAGUAAACUAUGCAGGCUAGGUGUUGGGGCGGCUACGAGCCGCUUCAGUGCCGCAGGAAAACCGUUAAGCUUGCCGCCUGGGGAGUACGACCGCAAGGUUGAAACUUAAAGGAAUUGGCGGGGGAGCACUACAAGGGGUGAAGGCUGCGGUUU